AUUUCUAAUGUAACUGAACCAAAUAGUGCAGUAUCCUCUUCCAAACAGUAUCUGUACCCAUUUUCACUUUUUCAUUACUCCCAAUAUCCUCUUCCAAACAGUAUUUGUACCCAUUUUCACUUUUUCACUUUUAUUUUUUCUUUCUCUCACGUUCAGUUCCCUUUCGUUUUUUCUCAGAUUGCUUUUUUCUUCCUUCUCCCUCUCCUUCUUCCUUCUCCCUAUUCUUCUUCCUCCUUCAUCUUCUUCUUACUUCUCCAUCUCCUUCUUCAUUGUUAUUAUUGAGUUUCAUACAAGUUCGAUUUUGAUUUUGAUUUGGUGUUUGUUGUUUCAGGUUUGGUGGUGUUGACUCACGCGAAAGGGGGAAGCUUCGUUGACGGUGCGGUUAUUUGAACAUAUGAUCUACGAAAUUAUGGCGGUGGAUAUGACGUUUCCGGCGAUAGGCGGUUUGAUAGUGGUAUACUAUAGUAGCGGCAACACGUUUUUUAACGGAGGGUGUGGUGGUUGGAUUCAAAAUUAUUUUUGUGUGAAUUUUUUGUCAGAUCUGUCAUGAGGUUUGAAAGCUUGCUUUCCCCCAGUUUGUGUCUGCAGCGCUGUUACCGGCAUGGAAAACAUUGCAAUUUUGCUGUGAGAAGUUAUACAUCUUAUGUAUUCAACUUACUAAUCUCUAGCUUUUGUUAUGACAAAAUUUGUUUACAAAAUAGCAUCUUAUGUAUUCAACUUACUAACUUGUAGCUUUUCCUUCUAGAAAUUUUAGAUUGAUUCCGACAAGUCGGUAGUCGAAUUAAAAAUUCACUAUGAAGAUUUGGUUCAUGAUGUAUUCCAAAUUGAUUCAGAUCAGGUUGAGGUUCUGAGCUACAUCAAGAUACAGGUGGUCAAUAGUGGUUCAUUUUCUGAACGGGAUUGUUCUAAUGAAAUUUCGUUUAGUUUGAAGUUUAAACAUGGUGGUCUUAAUGAGACUAAUAAAAGAACAACAUGGACUGGAGAAUAACAUAGGUAUCUGAAAUAUUUUACUUCAAUUUAGGUUUUUAUUGUGUACUAUUGUCUACGUUUUGCAACUCACGCGUCACGUGUUUGACAAAAUGUUUCAACUGGUUUCUUUCUGCUAACUAUUAAUUACUUUGUAGCCUGUCUCAUGUAGCUGUAUUGAUAGUGCUUGAUACGGGAAGUGAGAUUAGUCAUAGAGAAACCUGAUUGAUAAAAGCAGUGGUCUAUUUCUUACACGAGCAGUCCUCCCGUAAUCUUCAGGAACAUGAAAACCAUUAUUUUUGGGUGAACCUUUAUUCUUUGUUCAUGACUAAAGGUUCAGUAAAUAAUGUAAUAUUUCUCUUUCAGUACAUGCAGAACAUUAGGGAAGCAGCGUUUUCCAUCAAGAAGAUGCCCUUGAUCAAGGAUAAAAAGUUAUUUGGAAGGUGUUCUUGCCCACAAAAAAACCAUUCCAUUCAGACGUUUUUGCCAUGGUGUUGGCAGGACAGCCCAGGCCAAGAACAGACAUUCCAAUGGGCAAGGAUGGUGGCCUGCCAAAACUGAAAUGAGAAAUAGUUAUCACCACAAUGCUGGAAAUUUAUAAAGGCCAGUUGCUAAGGCAUUUAGUGGAAGGGAAAAGGAUGCCGUUGAUGCCAAAUCGACAGUUUAAGACUUUUAUUUUUGCACUGUUUAAUGAGAAUUUGAAACAUGGCUCAAUUACUGGUGUUGCUUAUGAAAGACUGGAGUUAGGUAUGGUUUUUGGCUUGUAUUUGUACUUUUCUAAUUUCUUGAGCUCAUUGUAUUAUUGCUUACUCAGUGAGUAAUUAUUGAAUUAAGAGUUGAUUAAAUGGAAAAGGUAUUUUUGAAAAAAUUAAGACCUUAUUAUUACCCUCACACAUUGAGAAACUCUUUAUAAUAGUUUUAUGGGAUGUUGAUAGUAUUUGAUUAUUUGUAUAAUCUCAUUAAGGUUUUUUUAACUACAUGGCGUCGGGAUGUAACUAUCAGUCAUGUUGAGGGUCCUGCUAGGAUGUUGAUAUUACACUCACCUUUCUGGAGAGAAGCUCCUGCUGCUCAUUUUUCUUAUUAUGAAUCUUCUGAGACUUUACCUCCUGAUAGUGUGCCAAAAAAUGAAUGCUUUCGUUCUGUUAUUCGGGAGCCUUAGAGUUUUCUUAUCGAUGAAAAAAUAAUGUCAAAACGCCAUGUGACAGCAUCUUCCAAGUGCACAUUCAAUCUGCUGAUCAGGAAACAUAUUCAACGGUUUCUUCCUCGAAACAAAAUUCAAAAACAAGAUUUGCAUCUAAUGAUUGCGAUGUAGUGAUUUGCAUCUGAUCAGGAAACACACCUCAGUAUGCACUAAGAGGAAAAUAAGUUGAUUUGAAAUUGCAUUUUGUUUAUGUCUCCUAAACUAUGUUUCUCGCAUAAUUUGAAAUCAACUUCCACGUCUCAUUUUUUCAUUAUUUUUUAUUCGUUUUUCAGGCACUCGGUGUUUCUCUGGAUAGGCUCGUCGAAGCAGCUGAUUCGACUUCAAUAUGUUCUUCCUUUCUUUUCCUAUUUUAACUGUGAUUCAACAUUGCUUCUGUCUUUGGCAGUGUUUAUUACCUGUUAAACUUAGUUCCUUUCUAAAUCUUAUUGAGUAGUAAUCAUUCUAACUGUAUGAUUCGUUUGACAAUAUUAAUUAGGUUUUCCUAUCUAAAGGCAUAUAUGCUCCUAUUGGAUCUGUUAUUGUUGUUUUUUUAAUUUAGCUUUUUACUUAGAAAUUUUAUAUACUCAGUUUUUGAAAUUGAUCACCUUGUAUUGUUGUUAUAUGAGCUUUCAAUUUCAUUUGACUAUGAAGGAGGAGUUGCUUGAGUGCCCAACAUCCAAAUUGUGAUUCUGGGAAACUACCUUGAAGUUAAAGAUUCAAGUUGCCAUGCUGCCAGCAAUUAUUUUUCAUUGAUUAUAGUCAAAUUUCUAUUUUUAAUGUAUACAUUGUUGUCUAGAUCAUCUUUUGAUUGUGUGCAAUGGUUUUUUAGCUUUUAUCAUGUACUACAUUGUUCUUUUAGGCAAAACUGUCUUGUACUAAAAAUAUUAAUAGUAAUUGAAAAGGUUUAUUUAAUCUGUAAAAUAAAUGGAUAGUGUAUUUCAAUUAAGUAUCUUUCUUUGGUUCACAUGAAGUAGAUUGUGGAUUUCUUUUUUUUCUAAUUAAAAUAGAAUAAAAAUUCUUGCACAACAUUUAAUCCUUGGCUGGAUCUAGUGAUAUCAAUUGGUUUCUAUGAAUAUUUCACUAAAACGCAGCCAUAUAGUAUUACUCCAUAAUUUGAUCACCUUAGCUCGAUAUCGUCGAUCAUUUUGGCCCAUAGUGUAUGAAAAUGUUGAAUGCCUUUCUAUAAAUUCUUUUAAGUGCAAUUCCAGACUAAUGAAAUUGAGCUUAUAAAAAUGUUUUAAAUUUUGUGUGUUUGUAAAGAAAGAAUAUGGUAGACACUUUGCCGCAUAG
This is a long non-coding RNA of Vicia villosa (hairy vetch), 3436 nucleotides long. RefSeq lists it as uncharacterized. The record is from RefSeq and is a predicted model, not a curated record. NCBI's taxonomy places the organism in Eukaryota, Viridiplantae, Streptophyta, Magnoliopsida, Fabales, Fabaceae. The transcript has 3 exons.